RNAcentral lists this unclassified non-coding RNA (330 nucleotides) under soil metagenome. Its description in RNAcentral is "partial contains 5.8S ribosomal RNA, internal transcribed spacer 2, and large subunit ribosomal RNA". The stretch from base 1 to 120 matches the Rfam family "5.8S ribosomal RNA", at positions 35 to 154 of the family's 154-position model. The record is from RNAcentral.
GAUGAAGAACGCAGUGAAAUGCGAUAAGUAAUGUGAAUUGCAGAAUUCAGUGAAUCAUCGAAUCUUUGAACGCACAUUGCGCCCCUUGGUAUUCCGAGGGGCAUGCCUGUUCGAGCGUCAUUAUAACCCCUCAAGCUCAGCUUGGUGUUGGGGCCUGCUGCACUGGCAGCCCUUAAAAUCAGUGGCGGCGCCAUCUGGCUCUAAGCGUAGUAAUUCUCCUCGCUUCGGAGGCCGCGGUGCGUGCUAGCCAGCAACCCCCAAUUUUUUUCAGGUUGACCUCGGAUCAGGUAGGGAUACCCGCUGAACUUAAGCAUAUCAAUAAGCGGAGGA